CGUACGGGAGGCAGCAGUGGGGAAUAUUGGACAAUGGGGGAAACCCUGAUCCAGCGACGCCGCGUGAGUGAAGAAGUAUUUCGGUACGUAAAGCUCUAUCAGCAGGAAAGAAAAUGACGGUACCUGACUAAGAAGCCCCGGCUAACUACGUGCCAGCAGCCGCGGUAAUACGUAGGGGGCAAGCGUUAUCCGGAUUUACUGGGUGUAAAGGGAGCGUAGACGGCAGCGCAAGUCUGGAGUGAAAUGCCGGGGCCUAACCCCGGAACUGCUCUGGAAACUGCCAUGCUAGAGUGCAGGAGAGGCAGGCGGAAUUCCUAGUGUAGCGGUGAAAUGCGUAGAUAUUAGGAGGAACACCAGUGGCGAAGGCGGCCUGCUGGACUGUAACUGACGUUGAGGCUCGAAAGCGUGGGGAGCAAACAGGAUUAGAUACCCUGGUAGUC
Molecule: ribosomal RNA, 440 nt
Filed under: uncultured bacterium
Lineage: Bacteria
Description: partial 16S ribosomal RNA
Rfam family: Bacterial small subunit ribosomal RNA
Source: RNAcentral